UAGAUAUAAAGCAGUGAUCAUGUGUCGUUCAUUCAGUUUAAGAUAAAUUACAUUUAAGCCUUAUUGCCUUGAUCAUAGUACGCACAUUUUACAGUGUGUCACUCGGUCACCGAUGUUUAAUGUUAGUUUCUCGCAUACAAAUAAUAAAGGCCGCAUUGUGGAUGCGCCACUUACCGAUGAUUACGUAUCAGAGCAAUUAUUAUAAUUAGACAGUGUACCACAUUCGGUGCAAAAACCUGUCGACGCGUUUAAGUGGAGCCAUUAAUUAAAAGGCAUGGGACGAAUGCUGAUUUAACAGUUUCGUAAAACGUAAAUAGAAAACUCAAAGGGUGAACCAACUCGGAUGAUCGUCGUGACUAACUCAUGAUAUACAGCGUGCUAUUUCGAGGAUUAGCGUUUGACAAACGAUACAGAUGUUCCGCGAUGAUGCAAUAUCAACGGACGUUUUUGCAUAUUUACUUAACCCUAAUCCCGAUAAGACAAUUACCUCUACGCAGGAUCUAGCUUUUGAAUUAAAUCAUCAAGUGUUAUCAGAAACAAAUACAUGUAUACAAUCGGAUUGUGUAUUGUACGUACCGAAUAAAUAAAUAAACUAAUAUCACGUGGGCUAUGGUCAUCUCCGUAAGUGACGCUGGUUUAAAAUGGCGGCAAUUUCAUUUUUAAUCCUGACCAAUCGUUUUAAUCUGUCAUUUCGUUGGACCUUUCGGGUGAACUCGCAGUGCAAUCCAGCGAAUCGCUUGGGGCAAUGGCACCGACAAAAGUCAAAUGGGUUAUCCGGGGUUACGAGUGUGCCGCCAUUGAGGCACGUGAUCUGCGAAUUACACAGGAACGGACCGGGCAUCGCCUCUACGUGGGACGGAGCGAACACACUUAGUAUCAAGAUAAUGCAGCACAAUGAGAAUAUCCAAUUUACCCCGACACUGUCCGUGAGCACGAGCGGCGACAACCUCAGCCGCGUCGUGUGAGAAAAGUUUCUGUCAA
Molecule: long non-coding RNA, 981 nt
Organism: Dreissena polymorpha
Lineage: Eukaryota; Metazoa; Mollusca; Bivalvia; Myida; Dreissenidae
Exons: 3
Source: RefSeq, a predicted model, not a curated record